This 69-nucleotide transfer RNA is filed under the name Omosudis lowii (hammerjaw). Its description in RNAcentral is "tRNA-Ser". Lineage: Eukaryota; Metazoa; Chordata; Actinopteri; Aulopiformes; Alepisauridae. The record is from RNAcentral.
GAGAGGGGCCCGACGGCAAUAAUGACUGCUAAUCCUUUAUCUCCAUGGUUAAACCCCAUGGUCCACUCG